Long non-coding RNA from Schistocerca americana (American grasshopper), 319 nucleotides. RefSeq lists it as uncharacterized. The record is from RefSeq and is a predicted model, not a curated record. The transcript has 3 exons. Lineage: Eukaryota; Metazoa; Arthropoda; Insecta; Orthoptera; Acrididae.
CUUCGGCGUCAUGGGCUACCAGUUCAAGCCGGACACGCCGCUGCUCCAGACAUGGGGUUGGAGUGAUGGAGAGCUGGUGCGACUCUACUCGUCACGACUGGUACGUGCUGUGGACUUGCAGCGUGAGUACUUCAAUGCAUCAGAUGUUGCACGCGGUGAUGUCACUGAGGAGCCUCUGGGGCCAGUUCUCAACUCAGACAGCAUGCAUGAUUGAGCUGCUCUGGUAGUCAGCAACUUUUUUAUGCUCAAUGGCUGGUGUUGCAAAGUACAUUGGCAAGAGUAGUGGCAAGCUUCAGAAGAGGACUGAAGAUCCUUGGAC